CAUAGGCUUCAAGCGUUGUCCGGAUUUAUUGGGCGUAAAGAGUUCGUAGGCGGUCGAGUAAGUCGGGUGUGAAAAUUCUGGGCUUAACCCAGAGACGCCACCCGAUACUACUUAACUUGAGUUCGGUAGGGGAGCGGGGAAUUCCUAGUGUAGCGGUGAAAUGCGCAGAUAUUAGGAGGAACACCGGUGGCGAAGGCGCCGCUCUGGACCGAUACUGACGCUGAGGAACGAAAGCAUGGGUAGCAAACAGGAUUAGAUACCCUGGUAGUCCAUGCCGUAAACGGUGGGCACUAGGUGUGGGUUCCAAUUAACGGAAUCCGCGCCGUCGCUAACGCAUUAAGUGCCCCGCCUGGGGAGUACGGUCGCAAGACUA
This 373-nucleotide ribosomal RNA is filed under the name uncultured prokaryote. Its description in RNAcentral is "bacterial SSU rRNA". It matches the Rfam family "Bacterial small subunit ribosomal RNA", at positions 526 to 896 of the family's 1533-position model. The record is from RNAcentral.